This 498-nucleotide ribosomal RNA is filed under the name uncultured bacterium. RNAcentral's name for it is "bacterial SSU rRNA". It matches the Rfam family "Bacterial small subunit ribosomal RNA", at positions 18 to 518 of the family's 1533-position model. The record is from RNAcentral.
UCUGGCUCAGGAUGAACGCUGGCGGCGUAGCUUAACACAUGCAAGUCGAACGAAGCAUUAGAAUUGAUUCUCGGAUGAUUCUUUUGACUUAGUGGCGGACGGGUGAGUAACGCGUGGGUAACCUGCCGUAUGGCAGGGGGACAACAGUUAGAAAUGACUGCUAAUACCGCAUAACCCGCUAGUACCGCAUGGUACAGACGGAAAAGAUUUUAUCGGCAUACGAUGGACCCGCGUCUGAUUAGCUUGUUGGUGAGGUAACGGCCCACCAAGGCGACGAUCAGUAGCCGAACUGAGAGGUUGACCGGCCACAUUGGGACUGAGACACGGCCCAGACUCCUACGGGAGGCAGCAGUGGGGAAUAUUGCACAAUGGGGGAAACCCUGAUGCAGCAACGCCGCGUGAGUGAUGACGUAUUUCGGUAUGUAAAGCUCUAUCAGCAGGGAAGAAAAUGACGGUACCUGACUAAGAAGCCCCGGCUAACUACGUGCCAGCCGCCGC